AACGAACGCUGGCGGCAUGCCUAACACAUGCAAGUCGAACGAAGCCUUCGGGCUUAGUGGCGCACGGGUGCGUAACGCGUGGGAAUCUGCCCCUUGCUUCGGAAUAACAGUUAGAAAUGAAUGCUAAUAACGGAUGAAGUCUUAGGACCAAAGAUUUAUCGGCAAGGGGUGAGCGUGCGUAGGUUUCGGUAGUUGGUGGGGUAAAGGCCUACCAAGGCGACGAUGCUUAGCUGGUCUGAGAGGAUGAUCAGGCACACUGGGACUGAGGCACGGCCCAGACUCCUACGGGAGGCAGGAGUGUAUAAUAUUGGACAAUGGACGCAAGUCUGGUCCCGCAAUGUCGCGUGAGUGAUGAAGGCCUUAGGGUUGUAAAGCUCUUUUACCAGGGAUGAUAAUGACAGUACCUGGAGAAUAAGCUCCGGCUAACUCCGUG
This 433-nucleotide ribosomal RNA is filed under the name uncultured bacterium. Its description in RNAcentral is "partial 16S ribosomal RNA". It matches the Rfam family "Bacterial small subunit ribosomal RNA", at positions 29 to 507 of the family's 1533-position model. The record is from RNAcentral.